ACACAUGCACGCGCGCGUGGACGUAAGCCAGGCCUAGGCUUUGCCCGGGGAUUUCGUCGUGUUUUUCCAGAGAAUACUGAGCUUAACAGAUGCCAGUUGUAGAUACUCGUCCAGUUUGCCGGCAUCCAGUGCCUUGGACACUUCCACCAUACCGGGACGGAACGGCUUGUUGAAGAAGCGAUCGUACGUCGUGUGCCGCCGCAGAUGCUUCUGAUGGGUUGAGGACAAAGGAACUACGAAUAGAACAAAACAUGGAUAGCACUCCAUCGAGAAACUAACCUUCACCCGAGGAAUGCAGCAAGAGGGCAGACGGUCACGGCACCUGUAACUGUUCAGACCGUUUAGUCUGGCACAUGGGCCAUGAGGCGGCGGAAAAUGCGUCAUCUGCUCAUGAGCUGGGGAUGGGACCCUGGUGACGUCAGUAUGACACUCUUAAGGCUGCCACACUUCCUCCAGACUCAGACACUGUGUUCCAUUUACUCCUCCGGGAUUCACCUCAAGAAAUUUUUUUCUUCCUUAGACUAAAUUAUUAUUUUGUGAAACUGUGAUAUUAUUGCAUACACACACCGCGUCUGGACUCAAACUGCAGGAAUACAACACAGAAAUAGCUGAAUCGGAAAUCACCAAAGAGUUGGGAUACAAGCUCUAAUUACGUACAAUGUAGGCUGCAGGUCAUUGUCUGGGUUAUUUGAUAAAUGCAUACUUUUCACGCUUUUUUGACAAACUCGGCUUCUUUUGAAUUUUACCUUUUCCAAUCCAUCGUUUUCAUACAGUAAACUUAGGCCUAUACAUGUCAUAAAAUAUUUUGUGUGGUGCUAUGAUCCUUGUUUGACCGACAUUGUAAUUUAAUCAAAGGUUCCUUAUCAGUGGAUAAUGAUAUGAAAAUGAAUUUAAUCGAAAAACAAAUUACUAUUUCAUAAGGAUGAAAUAAUUGCUAAGACAUUUAAGUCACAUACUCGAAGCUUCACGUGUAUUCUUCAGCGAUAUCCCGUUUUUAUUUCACAUGUACGUCAGUAUACAUUGUAGGGACAAUGUACAUACACUGUACAUAAUGUACACUGGACUGUACAUGUACUGUACAUGCACAGCACUAUGCUGUACACCAUUGUGGAUAUCUGAUCUCAAGUUAAAAAGUCACCGACAUGUAUAACUCCGCCCAGAGAGAACUUUAUUAUUGCGCGAAAUGAAAUAGAUUUUUAUUCGCAAAAGUUGAUCGCAGUAUAGGAAUAAAUUUGUCUAAGGAGUAGGUACUACAACGUCAGGGACCACUUUGAUUAUUUAAUUUAUAGCUUGUCUUCACUUAGUCGUUGGAGUAAGUAAGCAAUGUUUGUCCUUAUUCUCUCGUAGCCCGGUGGCACUGCGGAUGAAUAUUGCAAAGUUCUCCGUGCA
RNAcentral lists this long non-coding RNA (1389 nucleotides) under Acanthaster planci (crown-of-thorns starfish). Its description in RNAcentral is "uncharacterized LOC110976837, transcript variant X1". The record is from RNAcentral. Lineage: Eukaryota; Metazoa; Echinodermata; Asteroidea; Valvatida; Acanthasteridae.